UACGGGGGGAGCAAGCGUUGUUCGGAUUUACUGGGCGUAAAGGGCACGUAGGCGGUCGUGACAAGUCACUUGUGAAAUCUCCGGGCUUAACUCGGAACGGUCAAGUGAUACUGUCGGACUAGAGUACAGAAGGGGCAACUGGAAUUCUCGGUGUAGCGGUGAAAUGCGUAGAUAUCGAGAGGAACACCUGCGGCGAAGGCGGGUUGCUGGGCUGAUACUGACGUGAGGCGCGAAAGCCAGGGGAGCGAACGGGG
RNAcentral lists this ribosomal RNA (254 nucleotides) under uncultured bacterium. RNAcentral's name for it is "partial 16S ribosomal RNA". It matches the Rfam family "Bacterial small subunit ribosomal RNA", at positions 524 to 777 of the family's 1533-position model. The record is from RNAcentral.